UUUAAUGCAGUUUCUAAACAGGGUUUUUAAAGAAAAUCAGGCAUUUAAUUAAAUGGAAACAAAAUUAAAAUUGAAUAACCGAUCCUGAAUUCAGGCCUUUUGCGACCGAUCACAUGGGGUUUCUUACAACACGUGUCAGCAUAAAAUAUUUUUGAUUUUCUUUUCUCUUUCUUUUCUUCUCUUUCUCUCAUCUUCUCUCGCGUUCUCCAGACGACGAAACCAAUCGUCUCCUCCAUUCAAUCAUCACUCCAGAAAUCGUCUUUCCCUCUGUCGUCUUCUCCUCUCCGUCGUGAAGGGCACCUCUCCUCCGUUCAAUCGGCGUCUUCUCCGUCUUUCCCUUCUGUCGUCUUCUCCUCUCCGUCGCGAAGGGAAGCGUCUCUCUCUCUUCUCUCGUCUUCUCCGUCGCUAAGGGUAGCGUCUCCUCCCUUCAAUCGCCUUUCCCAAUUGCUGCGACCCCAUCUUCUCUCUCUUCUGACCGUGCUUAACCGUAUGAAGAUUGUGAAGAACAUCCAGAAGUUGGUGUCUGCUUCUAAACUUAGUCCUGUAAAAGCCCUGAAGUUUGUUUCGUGACUCAAAGCAUGACAUCUGCCUUCAUGCUUUGCGCAUUGUGGUUGAGGGUGCUGUCGCACAGGCUAAGACAUCAACUUCUUCGAGAAGCAACCACUACCUGAGACAAGUAGUGUUUCUGUUUUAUAUUGGUUCUGUUUCGAUGUUGUUUCUUGUUGUUCCCAUUGUUAUUUUUGCUCUGUAUCAGGCGACUGAGUGUAAUUCUCAUUGUUAUAAUCUUUUUUUUAUAAACCCUUUA
Raphanus sativus (radish) is the source of this 805-nucleotide long non-coding RNA. RefSeq lists it as uncharacterized. Lineage: Eukaryota; Viridiplantae; Streptophyta; Magnoliopsida; Brassicales; Brassicaceae. The record is from RefSeq and is a predicted model, not a curated record. The transcript is spliced from 3 exons.